Molecule: long non-coding RNA, 356 nt
Organism: Nannospalax galili (Upper Galilee mountains blind mole rat)
Lineage: Eukaryota; Metazoa; Chordata; Mammalia; Rodentia; Spalacidae
Exons: 2
Source: RefSeq, a predicted model, not a curated record
CCUGGAACUGGAGUUACGGAGAGUUGUUAGCUGCCAUGUGGGUGCUGGGAUUCGAACCCGAGUCUUCUGCAAGAACACUCAGUGUUAACUGCUGAGCCAUCUCUCCAGCCCUUAAACAGCAAUUUCUAAGAUCAACAUUCCAACACAAUCCUAAAAAGCCACCGUAUGUGCGCUGAGUAUUCUCAUCCUGAAGGCCUAGCUUGGAUCUGGAUCCUGCUCAGUUCACUGGAAUGCUCUUCUCUCCUAUGUUACAAAUCUGUACUUUGUAUAUUUUCCCCACCUGCCUAACACCAAAGAUAUAUCAGUUCAGAAUGUGAUCUACUGGUUAUAUGGAACUAAAUAAAAUGUCUGGUCUC